AUGAUUCCACCUUGUCACGUCUUCUUCUUCAAAGUCAUGUCGUUGACAAACUUGCUCAAGCUUCCAUCACAUUACAAACUUCCUUGUGAUAAUCCAAAACAUGCGUUAAAUCUAAACAGAAAAAACAGUUAUCUACACAAUGUCAAGCAUAAUACAAUUCACCAAUUAACGAGUGCAAUGCUGCACACAAAACCUUGCACCAGCUCAGCCCUACACAUAACAAAUGAGCUAGCCUUGCUUUUCACUAACCGAAAACAGUUUGUAAAAAACCAGUUCAAACCAUGUGAUUAA
Non-coding RNA from Vicia faba (fava bean), 291 nucleotides. Lineage: Eukaryota; Viridiplantae; Streptophyta; Magnoliopsida; Fabales; Fabaceae. The record is from the annotation of a GenBank genome assembly.